CUACGGGCUGCUCCAGUGGGGAAUAUUGCACAAUGAGCGAAAGCUUGAUGCAGCCAUACCGCGUGUGUGAAGAAGGCCCGAGGGUUGUAAAGCACUUUCAAUUGUGAGGAAGGUUCAGUAGUUAAUACCUGCUGUUCUUGACGUUAACUUUAGAAGAAGCACCGGCUAACUCUGUGCCAGCAGCCGCGGUAAUACAGAGGGUGCAAGCGUUAUUCGGAAUUACUGGGCGUAAAGCGCGCGUAGGCGGAUUGUUAAGUCAGUUGUGAAAGCCCUGGGCUCAACCUGGGAACUGCAUCUGAACUGGCAAUCUAGAGUUUAAGAGAGGGAAGUGGAAUUCCAGGUGUAGCAGUGAAAUGCGUAGAUAUCUGGAGGAACAUCAGUGGCGAAGGCGACUUCCUGGCUUAAAACUGACGCUGAGGUGCGAAAGCGUGGGUAGCGAACGGGAUUAGAUACCCGUGUAGUC
This 463-nucleotide ribosomal RNA is filed under the name uncultured bacterium. Its description in RNAcentral is "partial 16S ribosomal RNA". It matches the Rfam family "Bacterial small subunit ribosomal RNA", at positions 339 to 795 of the family's 1533-position model. The record is from RNAcentral.